This 1712-nucleotide ribosomal RNA is filed under the name Syntrophomonas wolfei subsp. saponavida. RNAcentral describes it as "bacterial SSU rRNA". It matches the Rfam family "Bacterial small subunit ribosomal RNA". The record is from RNAcentral. Lineage: Bacteria; Bacillati; Bacillota; Clostridia; Eubacteriales; Syntrophomonadaceae.
AGAGUUUGAUCCUGGCUCAGGACGAACGCUGGCGGCGUGCCUAACACAUGCAAGUCGAACGGACUAAUGUUUGACACUGAGUGUUCUUCUAGAAAACGCAGCAGUGAGCCGCGUGACGCGAGCCUAAACAGGCAACCACUUUGACCAAGAACUAUAUUAGUAUAGAAACAAUAGUAAGGGAAUGAACAAAAGUGGCGAGCGUCGAAGCUAUCAAAAAGUGCCAACACAAGGAAGUAGUAUCUAGAAGGAAAGCAGUGAAGAGCACUGAGUGUCGAACAUUAGUUAGUGGCGGACGGGUGAGUAACGCGUGGGCAACCUACCUAUUAGUGGGGGAUAACAGUUGGAAACGACUGCUAAUACCGCAUGUGAUCACAGAUUUAGUUUGUGAGGAAAGAUGGCCUCUGAUAUAAGCUAUCGCAUAUAGAUGGGUCCGCGUCUGAUUAGUUAGUUGGUGGGGUAAAGGCCUACCAAGGCGACGAUCAGUAGCCGGCCUGAGAGGGUGAACGGCCACACUGGGACUGAGACACGGCCCAGACUCCUACGGGAGGCAGCAGUGGGGAAUAUUGCGCAAUGGGGGAAACCCUGACGCAGCGACGCCGCGUGAGCGAAGAAGGCCUUAGGGUUGUAAAGCUCUGUUGUAAGGGAAGAAUGGCAUCGGGAAUAAUACGCCUGAUGCAUGACGGUACCUUACGAGGAAGCCCCGGCUAACUACGUGCCAGCAGCCGCGGUAAGACGUAGGGGGCGAGCGUUGUCCGGAAUUACUGGGCGUAAAGAGCACGUAGGCGGAUAUUUAAGUCAGUUGUGAAAGACCGCAGCUCAACUGCGGGGUUGCAAAUGAAACUGGGUAUCUUGAGGGCAGGAGAGGGCAGUGGAAUUCCUGGUGUAGCGGUGAAAUGCGUAGAAAUCAGGAGGAACACCAGUGGCGAAGGCGGCUGUCUGGACUGACCCUGACGCUGAGGUGCGAGAGCGUGGGUAGCAAACAGGAUUAGAUACCCUGGUAGUCCACGCUGUAAACGAUGGAUACUAGGUGUGGGGGGUAUCGACCCCUUCCGUGCCGCAGCUAACGCAAUAAGUAUCCCGCCUGGGGAGUACGGUCGCAAGGCUGAAACUCAAAGGAAUUGACGGGGGCCCGCACAAGCGGUGGAGCAUGUGGUUUAAUUCGAUGCAACGCGAAGAACCUUACCAGGUCUUGACAUCUGUAGAACACUGUAGAAAUACGGUGGUGCCUUCGGGAGCUACAAGACAGGUGGUGCAUGGUUGUCGUCAGCUCGUGUCGUGAGAUGUUGGGUUAAGUCCCGCAACGAGCGCAACCCUUGCUAUUAGUUGCUAACAGGUAGAGCUGAGCACUCUAAUGGGACUGCCCGUGACAAGCGGGAGGAAGGUGGGGAUGACGUCAAAUCAUCAUGCCCUUUAUGAUCUGGGCUACACACGUGCUACAAUGGAUGGUACAGAGAGCAGCGAUGCCGCGAGGUGGAGCGAAUCUCAAAAAGCCAUUCUCAGUUCGGAUUGCAGUCUGCAACUCGACUGCAUGAAGUCGGAAUCGCUAGUAAUCGCGGAUCAGCACGUCGCGGUGAAUGCGUUCCCGGGCCUUGUACACACCGCCCGUCACACCACGAAAGUCGGCAACACCCGAAGCCGGUGACUCAACUAGCAAUAGAGAGAGCCGUCUAAGGUGGGGUUGGUAAUUGGGGUGAAGUCGUAACAAGGUAACC